RNAcentral lists this non-coding RNA (28 nucleotides) under Homo sapiens (human). Lineage: Eukaryota; Metazoa; Chordata; Mammalia; Primates; Hominidae. The record is from RNAcentral.
UCCCAAGGUAAUGCUGGUAUGGGUUGGU